AAUAGAUACCCUGGUAGUCCACGCUGUAAACGAUGAUUACUGGUUGUUAGCGAUAUAUAGCUAGUGACUGAGCGAAAGCAUUAAGUAAUCCACCUGGGGAGUACGUCGGCAACGAUGAAACUCAAAGGAAUUGACGGGGGCCCGCACAAGCGGAGGAACAUGUGGUUUAAUUCGAUGAUACGCGAGGAACCUUACCUGGGUUUAAAUGGGGAGUGACAGGUGUCGAAAGAUGCUUUUCCUUCGGGACACUCUUCAAGGUGCUGCAUGGUUGUCGUCAGCUCGUGCCGUGAGGUGUCGGGUUAAGUCCCAUAACGAGCGCAACCCUUGCCGAUAGUUGCCAUCACGUAAAGGUGGGCACUCUAUCGGGGACUGCCGGUGUAAACCGUGAGGAAGGUGGGGAUGACGUCAAAUCAGCACGGCCCUUACAUCCAGGGCUACACACGUGUUACAAUGGCCAGUACAGAGGGCCGCUACCCCGCGAGGGGAUGCCAAUCUCGAAAGCUGGUCUCAGUUCGGAUUGAAGUCUGGAACCCGACUUC
Molecule: ribosomal RNA, 539 nt
Filed under: uncultured bacterium
Lineage: Bacteria
Description: bacterial SSU rRNA
Rfam family: Bacterial small subunit ribosomal RNA
Source: RNAcentral